UACGAAGGAUCCAAGCGUUAUCCGGAUUCAUUGGGUUUAAAGGGUGCGUAGGCGGUUUUGUAAGUCAGUGGUGAAAUCUCUCAGCUUAACUGAGAAACUGCCAUUGAUACUGCAGAACUAGAGUACAGAUGAGGUUGGCGGAAUGUGUCAUGUAGCGGUGAAAUGCAUAGAUAUGACACAGAACACCGAUUGCGAAGGCAGCUGACGAAACUGCAACUGACGCUGAUGCACGAAAGUGCGGGGAUCAAACAGG
This 253-nucleotide ribosomal RNA is filed under the name uncultured bacterium. RNAcentral's name for it is "partial 16S ribosomal RNA". It matches the Rfam family "Bacterial small subunit ribosomal RNA", at positions 524 to 776 of the family's 1533-position model. The record is from RNAcentral.